GAUGAACGCUGGCGGCGUGCCUAAUACAUGCAAGUCGAGCGAACAGACGAGGAGCUUGCUCCUCUGACGUUAGCGGCGGACGGGUGAGUAACACGUGGAUAACCUUCUUAUAAUACUGGGAUAACUUCGGGAAACAGCAGACAAUACUGGCGCAUAUAUUCAACGGCAUGAAUCAAUAGAUCAUGAGGGCUUUGCUGUCACUUUUAGAUGGUUCCGGGUCGCAUUAGCUAGUUGGUAAGGUAACGGCCUACCAAGGCAACGAUGCGUAGCUGACCUGAGAGGGUGAUCGGCCACACUGGAACUGAGACACGGUCCAGACUCCUACGGGAGGCAGCAGUAGGGAAUCUUCCGCAAUGGGCGAAAGCCUGACGGAGCAACGCCGCGUGAGUGAUGAAGGUCUUCGGAUCGUAAAACUCUUUUAUUAGGGAAGAACAAAUGUGUAAGUAACUAUGCACGUCUUGACGGUACCUAAUCAGAAAGCCACGGCUAACUACGUG
Molecule: ribosomal RNA, 497 nt
Filed under: uncultured bacterium
Lineage: Bacteria
Description: partial 16S ribosomal RNA
Rfam family: Bacterial small subunit ribosomal RNA
Source: RNAcentral